UGUUGUAAUCUAGAACCUAUUCCACCUAAUCUCUGUCAGUUGUUGAUAUGUCAUUGUGGGAAAUUCAAAUAUGUGCCCAUAGGAUUUCACCGCCUCACUCGUUUGAAGAUGCUGCAAAUUGGUUUGUUCUGGGAGGAGCUGGACGCCUUCCUUGAUUUUCAGCUUCCACCACCAUCACAUGAUUCACAACUUGAAAGCUUAGAGUUGGUGGGGUGGCCUAAGCUCAAGUCUCUGCCCCAACAAAUUCAGCACUUUACUUUUUUAAAAACUCUCUGGAUAGGAAAGUUUAUAGGACUAGAGGCUCUUCCUGAAUGGUUGGGAAAUCUUACAUCUCUUGAGACUCUACAUAUCUGGCUUUGCAAGAAUCUCAAGUAUCUACCUACACUAAAUGCUAUGAAAGGCCUCACCAAAUUGAAGAAGCUCUACAUUGAGGGAUGUCCCCUGCUCAAGGAAAGAUGCACCAAGGAGACUGGCCCAGAAUGGCUCAAGAUUUCUCACAUCCCAGAACUUGACUUUUGGUGAAGCUACGGAAUGCCUGCCAUACUAAACUAGAAUGCCUGGUCACAUUUCAAGAGGAAAAUGUAUUAUCGAUUGAUUUCACUCAAGUUACAAGGUUAAUCAAUUCCUAUUUGCCAGAGAUUUAUCCCUAAAGCAGGGUUCUAUCAUACUUAAUGGGAAGAUCAGAUGAAGCUGAGUGGUUGAAGAUCCAGUCACAGUAGUUCAAUCACCUCUCCCAUAGUCCCAUGUGUUAAUUCAGCAGCAGAUAUGAGAAUGAGAAGUAUCCACCUCAAGUGGCAGCUAUGCAAACAAAAGAUGCACUGAGGACAACCGACAUGAGUGGCUGACUUCUUAUUUUCCAAGGGUAGAGUGUAAUUUGUGUUUGUUCUUGUUCCCUCUAUCACUUCCAUCUAGUUAAACUUAUCAGUUAUCCUCAUGUCUUGUGCCCUAUUAUUUCUUUUCUUUUAUAAGUACUAGUUUUUGUGAUGGGGAAGUUCAUGCUCUAGUAUA
This is a long non-coding RNA of Rosa rugosa (rugosa rose), 1008 nucleotides long. RefSeq lists it as uncharacterized. The record is from RefSeq and is a predicted model, not a curated record. Lineage: Eukaryota; Viridiplantae; Streptophyta; Magnoliopsida; Rosales; Rosaceae. The transcript is spliced from 4 exons.